CAUUUGCUUGGUAAUGUGAAGGCACUAGUUAAGGUUACUUCUUCCUUUUUAGUGUUCCACCUUGAAUAAUUGAAAGCAUAAACGUAGCACCUUAAUUAUUACAAUGCAUUGUUGUGAAGAUUCAUGGCAGGAGGAAUACUUUUUAUACUUUGUGCUUGACUCAUUAGUGCCUGGUGCAAAAGCACAGUUGCAUCUCAGUUCUUGAUUCUCUAAAGCUCUGGAUAUCUGUGAAAAGAGCAGGAUUUGGGAAAGAAUCAUAUUCCACAGAGUCUUGUGGUGAUGUAGAUGGAAUAGGACCUCCAAAGGCCUUAGUCCUACAUUUCAGUCAGGUUAUAGACAACUUUAAGCCAUUACUCAAAGAAUUGUCCAUGUAAAUGAAAAAAAAAAUCAAAUGGAACAAAUUCUCAGUUCUUUCCUGUUCCACAGUUCUUUUCUGUUUGGUGGUCCUCAUUGUGAAUUUGCUUCCUUAAUUAGUAACUAGGCUUUAAAUAUACUACAUUCUAUGUCUUUUGCCUUUUCCCCUCUUACCUGUGUAACUCUGAAGAGGAUUCUGUGUUCAUCUUCUUUAUACUGUGGCCUUAAGCUGUUAAAUUUCUUUAAUAUAUGUUUAAUAUAUGUUAUUAAUUUCCGUUUGUCAAGUAUCUGGUAACAUGUACAGUUUGAGUUGGAAUUUGGGUACAUGGUGGGAUUCUUUGGGGCUGUCUUGUGCAGGGCCAGGAGUUGGACUUGAUCCUUGUGGGUCCCUUCCACUUCUGCAUAUUCUAUGAUUCUGUGACCGUAUGGUUAUGCCUCUGUAUAUGUCAUGUCCUUGAAUCAACUCUGAGUUACCUCCUAGUCCAUUUUUUUGGAUAGAUGCACGCUUGCUUCAAAGUGUAAUAAGGCCUUUUUAACAACCCAGGAGCAGCUAAGUGCCUUUUCAAAUGAUUCUUGAUUUGUUAUAUAAUGGUAAAACCUCUGCUUCUUUUAAUUUCUGCAGAACUCUUAAAGCAUCAGAACCAAUUUCUGAAAUUUUGACUCAUAAUUUGAUUCGGUUGCCUUGUCUGCUGGUCCUCAUCCAUGGGCAUCUAAAAAAAAAAAGCUUUUCAUAUCAAAAGUAUUUUAAGAGGAUUAACGCACAUCUUUAGCAAGAAGUGAAGGUUAGCAGCACCUAAACUUUUUCCUGAGCAGUGCAGAAAUUUUUAUUUUCUUAUUUUCAGUAGGAUGGAAAAUUAUUCUACAACUCUAAACCAAUACAGUAGUUGAUGAGUAUUUUGUUAUUUGAGACAGGGAUGAGAGGCUUCAGUGAUUAGAGACU
This 1294-nucleotide long non-coding RNA is filed under the name Lonchura striata (white-rumped munia). Its description in RNAcentral is "domestica (Bengalese finch) lncRNA (ENSLSDG00000010022.1)". The record is from RNAcentral. Lineage: Eukaryota; Metazoa; Chordata; Aves; Passeriformes; Estrildidae.